Molecule: long non-coding RNA, 883 nt
Organism: Mesocricetus auratus (golden hamster)
Lineage: Eukaryota; Metazoa; Chordata; Mammalia; Rodentia; Cricetidae
Exons: 2
Source: RefSeq, a predicted model, not a curated record
AUUCUGGCCGGUAUUCCCGGCCCCUGACCCUCCCCAGCCCAGGGGCUGGGCUGCCCUUCCCCAGCUGCCCUUCCCUAUAUAAUCCAGCUGCCCUCUCCUGUCUGCACCUCUGUGCCCGGCUUUCCCCUCGCUCCCCUCUCCCUUCCCCUCCUCCCUCUCCUCACCUGUCCCUGCCUCUGACUUAGCUCUCCCUUUUAUCUACCUGGGAGCAGUCAUGUCCUUUCCUUUUUUAUUUCUUUUUUUUUUCAUUCAGAUGCGUUUGAUUAUUAUUUCUAAGUAACUGAUUCAUCACUGGAGCAGAGCCGACACUUGGACUGACAGUGAGCCGUAGCUGGGGAAAGGGGAACCAUCACUGCUUCACCGUGUCCUGAGUGAGCGCUGCGAGCAUGGUCCAAAGAAGAAUGUGCUCAGGGAAAAUGGAAUUUUGCUUAAGUCCUUGGCGAGUAAACUCAAUUACUGUCUACUUAUUUCUUUGAAAGAAGGAAACUUUGUUGUUCACUUAGCCCAGGACUGCUUUGGCAUCUGGAUGGUGCACAUCAGAAAUCAGAAGACUUUGGACGAGGUGGCCAGCAAGAUCAUGUGUGGGACAGCAUAAGCUAUGCAACUAUCAGACUUCUUCAACCUAGUGGGUAGCCAGGAGGAGCACUGUAUCAGUCAGGGUUCUCUAGAAAUAUGGAACUGAUGGAGUGAAAAUAGUUAUAGCCACGACAGGCACGCAAGUGGACGUGAUGUUGCAAAGCCAGCAAGAAAAGGACAUGGACUCGGAAGAAAAUUACAGCCAGCAGACUAGGUUGUAAGCAGAUGCUGGCUUUUCUUCUGGGUAAUUCGUGGCUUUACAGUCAAAUCAGCAGGAGCUCAAACUAUAAAUUAGAAGAACAGAGUU